GAUCACUUACGGCUGACGCCUCUAGCCGGAAUCCCGUCCCCGACGUCCGCGUCUGCUUUUCCGAGACGGGCGACAGAACGAUUAGGCCCCUCCUCGCUCUUCCCGAGUGACUGGGGUGGUGUGUGUCCGACCUGUAUAUUUCGGCAGGUGUCUUUCGAAAGCAGGAAAAUCUGCUUGCAGACGACUUGGGUUUGUGCGAGUCGGGGUGUCGUACUCGGUAGAGCGGCCUGUUGUGGCUGCGAUGCGUUGAGACUUGUCCCUCGACUAGGAGAUUUGU
Molecule: non-coding RNA, 277 nt
Filed under: Lottia gigantea (owl limpet)
Lineage: Eukaryota; Metazoa; Mollusca; Gastropoda; Lottiidae
Description: Eukaryotic large subunit ribosomal RNA
Rfam family: Eukaryotic large subunit ribosomal RNA
Source: Rfam by way of RNAcentral